RNAcentral lists this ribosomal RNA (1438 nucleotides) under Lactiplantibacillus plantarum. RNAcentral's name for it is "bacterial SSU rRNA". It matches the Rfam family "Bacterial small subunit ribosomal RNA". Lineage: Bacteria; Bacillati; Bacillota; Bacilli; Lactobacillales; Lactobacillaceae. The record is from RNAcentral.
UAUACAUGCAAGUCGAACGAACUCUGGUAUUGAUUGGUGCUUGCAUCAUGAUUUACAUUUGAGUGAGUGGCGAACUGGUGAGUAACACGUGGGAAACCUGCCCAGAAGCGGGGGAUAACACCUGGAAACAGAUGCUAAUACCGCAUAACAACUUGGACCGCAUGGUCCGAGCUUGAAAGAUGGCUUCGGCUAUCACUUUUGGAUGGUCCCGCGGCGUAUUAGCUAGAUGGUGGGGUAACGGCUCACCAUGGCAAUGAUACGUAGCCGACCUGAGAGGGUAAUCGGCCACAUUGGGACUGAGACACGGCCCAAACUCCUACGGGAGGCAGCAGUAGGGAAUCUUCCACAAUGGACGAAAGUCUGAUGGAGCAACGCCGCGUGAGUGAAGAAGGGUUUCGGCUCGUAAAACUCUGUUGUUAAAGAAGAACAUAUCUGAGAGUAACUGUUCAGGUAUUGACGGUAUUUAACCAGAAAGCCACGGCUAACUACGUGCCAGCAGCCGCGGUAAUACGUAGGUGGCAAGCGUUGUCCGGAUUUAUUGGGCGUAAAGCGAGCGCAGGCGGUUUUUUAAGUCUGAUGUGAAAGCCUUCGGCUCAACCGAAGAAGUGCAUCGGAAACUGGGAAACUUGAGUGCAGAAGAGGACAGUGGAACUCCAUGUGUAGCGGUGAAAUGCGUAGAUAUAUGGAAGAACACCAGUGGCGAAGGCGGCUGUCUGGUCUGUAACUGACGCUGAGGCUCGAAAGUAUGGGUAGCAAACAGGAUUAGAUACCCUGGUAGUCCAUACCGUAAACGAUGAAUGCUAAGUGUUGGAGGGUUUCCGCCCUUCAGUGCUGCAGCUAACGCAUUAAGCAUUCCGCCUGGGGAGUACGGCCGCAAGGCUGAAACUCAAAGGAAUUGACGGGGGCCCGCACAAGCGGUGGAGCAUGUGGUUUAAUUCGAAGCUACGCGAAGAACCUUACCAGGUCUUGACAUACUAUGCAAAUCUAAGAGAUUAGACGUUCCCUUCGGGGACAUGGAUACAGGUGGUGCAUGGUUGUCGUCAGCUCGUGUCGUGAGAUGUUGGGUUAAGUCCCGCAACGAGCGCAACCCUUAUUAUCAGUUGCCAGCAUUAAGUUGGGCACUCUGGUGAGACUGCCGGUGACAAACCGGAGGAAGGUGGGGAUGACGUCAAAUCAUCAUGCCCCUUAUGACCUGGGCUACACACGUGCUACAAUGGAUGGUACAACGAGUUGCGAACUCGCGAGAGUAAGCUAAUCUCUUAAAGCCAUUCUCAGUUCGGAUUGUAGGCUGCAACUCGCCUACAUGAAGUCGGAAUCGCUAGUAAUCGCGGAUCAGCAUGCCGCGGUGAAUACGUUCCCGGGCCUUGUACACACCGCCCGUCACACCAUGAGAGUUUGUAACACCCAAAGUCGGUGGGGUAACCUUUUAGGAACCAGC